AGUCUCCCUUUCCUAACCCUCACGGAAGUUUCCCACAGCCUGCAGCAGUCCUUCUUGUAGCCAGCCAAUCUCGCCCAGCUCCACUCCACCAGCAGCCCGUCAGGAGGAGCCUGGGCCAUCUCCGGCAGUGACCAGACUGUGUCCUGAGACCUUCAGCCUCCUCCUUCUCCCACUCUCUGUUUCUCCAACUGGCUGUUCCCUGCCUCCCUCCCGGCCCAGCCUCCCAUGGCCCUGUGGACCUGACACGUGGACUCGCCCUCCUGGGCAUGGCCCCGUGCUCACCUCCCGGCUCACCGUCUGCACCUGCCCCUCAGCCUUCGCCAGCCCCCUGCCUCUCAGGGGAGGCACCGCGUCCUGACGCAGCCCCGCUUCCUGCCCGCUCUUCGCCCCAGCAUGGAGCAAGCCCACGGUUGCUUUACCGGAACUUUUCAGCCACCCUGCAAAGACGAAGUGUGUCUGAGGCUGUGGUUUAAAACCGGGUUGGGGGCCCAGAGCAGCUGCGCAGGAAGCGAGGCUGCUUUUCCAUGAGUUCCCUGGCCAGAGCGUGGUUUCACCUCGGCCCCUUCCUCCCAGGCCUCCAGGGCUACAGCGAGGUUCUUGUUUUGCUGGACCUGUGACACCUGAACACCAAGGGCAUCCACACACGACCAGCGAAGUCCCUUCUCCCUCUGAAGCGCGUGGCAUUAGAAGAGGAAGAGACACCAGGGAACUCACUCUUUCCACGCGCAUAGAGGAGAGGCCACGUGAGCAAGAAGGCAGCCAUCUGCAGGCCAGGAAGAGGCCAGAAAAGCCAGCGUUAGUGGCGUCUUGAUCUCGGAUUUCCAGCCUCCAGAACUGUGAGAAGUUAAUGCCUGUUGGUUAAGCCCCCAGUCCACGGUAGUUUGCCAUGGCAGCCUGAGCAGACUAACGCCCCUCCCGUCCCGGGCUGCCUCAGCUCCUCAGAUUAGAUCACCGGAUCUUUCCCUUCUUCUCGAGGACCCUUAGGAAGCUCAUGAAAGUGCACACGCUGGUAGACACCAUCUUUGCCGGCUGUGUCAGAGGCCUCUCCUGCCCAUGAAAGAACACCCACGAGAGGGCCUGGGGGCUGCACUUCCUGCCGGUCCUGACGCUUCCACACCGAGACCUCCUUCACUGAUAGGGGACAAAGAGACUGCCCCUCUUCACUCUCAAAUGUGAGCUUCCGCUCAGGGCAAUUAGCACAAUUGUUUGUCUAGAAGAAUAAAAAAACACUGGAGUCUCUCCCUCACUGUCCAGAGGAACCAGGAGCUUUUUCAUCAGCAAAGAGAACCCACACUGAGUUAGAAACCUUUAAAUGCCAAGUUAGACGCAAAACUUAAUUCAGACUUCUGUUUCUAGGAAUAGAAAAGUAGCUGG
Molecule: long non-coding RNA, 1374 nt
Filed under: Equus asinus (donkey)
Lineage: Eukaryota; Metazoa; Chordata; Mammalia; Perissodactyla; Equidae
Description: lncRNA (ENSEASG00005030477.1)
Source: RNAcentral